RNAcentral lists this long non-coding RNA (1672 nucleotides) under Marmota monax (woodchuck). The record is from RNAcentral. Lineage: Eukaryota; Metazoa; Chordata; Mammalia; Rodentia; Sciuridae.
GACAGCCUGUCCCCCACAAGGCGGGCAGACAGGCAGAAGCCCCUCCCGGGAGUGAGUGACAGUUUUCCCACUUUCCCACACAGAGUACCCAGCCUCGACGUCUGAAGGCUGAGCUCCAGCGUCUGCAAUGAGCCCCAGGAAGACAUGAGGAAUCUGAGGAUCAGAGCUGGAGGCUGCUACUGACCUUGCCAGAUAGACCCUAGCCAGGGAGCGGUCAGUGCAAGUACACAGACCCUUGGCCAGAGUGUUGGGCUAAUACCUGGGGCUAGGAAAAUCAUGAGGGAGGCAAACCCUGUAGUGGCCUGACCCUUCAGGGAUGACAGCUCCGACACCAAGCUCCCAUCACAUGAGGGCUCCCUGGCACAGGGGCUGGUGGGAGGUCUGAGGCUCAGGACCCUCUUCCACCAUCCCCCCUCCUUCCCAGGCUGACAAAGCUCCUGGCAGUACUGAACUGUCCAGGGGCCUCACACCCUCCUCCCGUCAUCUGUCAUCUGUCCCCACUAAUGCUCCCAAUGACAGAGCUCGGAGCCAGACCAGAGGAGUCCGAGGCGCUUCCACACCAGGGGAUCUGAUGCGUCUUCAAAUGAAUUUGCACAAACUUGCCUGGCAGGAGGGUGGGCUCCAGGCUGGACAAGCAAGGCCGAGCACAGUUUCAUGGCUGAUCCUGCCAGUGUGCACCCGUGAACUGGGGAUUCUGGACUCAGGUAUACCCUCCCACAACUGGAGAAGAGCAGUGUGGACCUCCCUGGCCCCUCUGAGGCUGGCUCAAAGGCAGACCAACUGGGAGGGAGCUCAUGGUGGGGUCCGGAGAAUUCUGUACGGUCUAGGACUGAAACCCCUGGCCAGGAGCCCUGCAGGAAGAGGCCAGUUCCCAGGGCAGCCCUGCUCCAGAGCCCCAUGCAGCCUCCUCUGCAGGUCCGUCAGGGCACAGCUUGCCUGGGCACUGGGCUUUAUCAGGCUCAUUGUUGGUUUCUCCUAAGAAAGAUGGGGCACUCAGAAGUGGCCAGAGCUGGCUGGCCUUGGUAAGAAUCUCCAUGCUUGAGUCCAAGCGGGGCCUCAGUCCUAGCCACCAGAGCCACCUGCUUGGUGACCUUAUGGAGCAGCCCUGGGUGACACCUGACAUGCAAAGUUGUCACUGUCCCAACCUCAGAGCCUCCUCACACCCAUGGGUAUUCCCACCCUCUUCAUCCCCGUGCCCUGCCAGGCCCCCUGUGUACCUAUUCUGUGCUCUCUGAGUCUCUGGCCACCACAAGCACUAGCUGUGGCCUGUGAUCCUUCCUCAGGGACUAUGAGUGGCCAGGCACAUGGCUUCAAAUGCUGCCAGCUGGCGCAUCUCCCUGCCAUCCCUGGUGGGACUACGGGGCUGUCCUCCCAGCUGGGUCCAAUGCACUGGGCAAAGCCAUUGGCAGCUUGAGGACCCAUCUCUGUCACCUGGCAGUGGGUGUGAGCCUCAGGCUCCAGGAGGGCUGUACAGCUGGCAGGAGGCAGGUGCAGGGACACAGGAAGCAACACCUGACUCUGCAGACAGCCAGCUCCUCAGGACACACUGGUGCUGGGCUGCUUUCCUGUACCCAGAGUGCUGCUGCCCUGCCCAGUUUUAUGGUAGCUCCCUGUUUAUCAUGGGCAACUGGGACACCUGUCUCUGCUUACUGGCCACAUGGCUCAUCUCCAC